This 575-nucleotide ribosomal RNA is filed under the name uncultured Paenibacillus sp. RNAcentral describes it as "bacterial SSU rRNA". It matches the Rfam family "Bacterial small subunit ribosomal RNA", at positions 930 to 1503 of the family's 1533-position model. The record is from RNAcentral. Lineage: Bacteria; Bacillati; Bacillota; Bacilli; Caryophanales; Paenibacillaceae.
CAGUGGAGUAUGUGGUUUAAUUCGAAGCAACGCGAAGAACCUUACCAGGUCUUGACAUCCCCCUGAAUCACCUAGAGAUAGGUGCGGCCUUCGGGACAGGGGAGACAGGUGGUGCAUGGUUGUCGUCAGCUCGUGUCGUGAGAUGUUGGGUUAAGUCCCGCAACGAGCGCAACCCUUGAAUUCAGUUGCCAGCACCUCGGGUGGGCACUCUGAAUUGACUGCCGGUGACAAACCGGAGGAAGGCGGGGAUGACGUCAAAUCAUCAUGCCCCUUAUGACCUGGGCUACAUACGUACUACGAUGGCCGGUACAACGGGCCGCGAAGCCGCGAGGCGGAGCCAAUCCUUAAAAGCCGGUCUCAGUUCGGAUUGCAGGCUGCAACUCGCCUGCAUGAAGUCGGAAUUGCUAGUAAUCGCGGAUCAGCAUGCCGCGGUGAAUACGUUCCCGGGUCUUGUACACACCGCCCGUCACACCACGAGAGUUUACAACACCCGAAGUCGGUGGGGUAACCCGCAAGGGAGCCAGCCGCCGAAGGUGGGGUAGAUGAUUGGGGUGAAGUCGUAACAAGGUAACCGU